RNAcentral lists this long non-coding RNA (1104 nucleotides) under Equus caballus (horse). Its description in RNAcentral is "lncRNA (ENSECAG00000058047.1)". Lineage: Eukaryota; Metazoa; Chordata; Mammalia; Perissodactyla; Equidae. The record is from RNAcentral.
GGUUGGUAACAAGAUGAUCUGUGACUCUUUCUUCACUUCAAAACCCUUGGACACCCCCACCCACCACUCUGCACAAUGUCUCUCUAGUAAGAGAGAAAGCUGGAAGACGAGCUCUAGGUAGCACAGCCACCAGUCACCAUGAUGCUCUAGAAUCGGCAGUCAUUACUGUGAGAAGUUGCUUUGGAUUCCCCAUCAUGAAUAGUGCCGCAGAAGGGAGAAGUCAGCUCUGGACACGAGUCCCCACUGCGCUCAUCUCCCUCAUAAAGGGGGCCAGCAUUGCAGUGUUUGGCUUUCUUCUUUUGCACAUGAGGUGGCAAGUGGUCAAGAAGAAGGGGAUACUGUAAUUUGAGGGCUGUCUUGGAUCAUCACGGUUAUAGAGCUCGUGGGUCCAGUGGUAAGAGCAGGUCCUGCUCAGGCAGAGUCCAAGGGAAGGUGACAACAGAGGAGACUGGAGCAGUGCCUGGGGAAAAGGAAGUGAAGAGUGACAGGCCAAGUGUUGCACCACAGAUCAGUCUUUAAGCUGGAAUGGGGAUCAGGACCCCUGCUGUAUGUCCCUUCAAAGAGCCGUGACUUUCACCAGCCAGCCAACCAACAAAACAACUACCAUUGUUUUGUGCUUCAUCCAUUAUCUAAUUUAAUCCUUACAACACCACUGUGAGGUCUGGAGUCUGGAAGUCCAAAAUCAAGGUGCUAGCAGAUUUGGUGUCUGAAGGACCAAGGGUGGGUAGAGGAGAUGUCUUCCUCCCUUACAGUUUGGCAACUUGGACGGGAUAAAAUUUCACUGGCUGGACACUGCUCGCUCCUGGACCACUGCAGCAGAGAGACCCCGGACCCCUGACAAGAGCCAGCAAGAGGGAAGAGUUCUUACCACGUCAGUCUCCCGGAUCUCUGCCUGCAGGUUCCAAUGGAAGCAAGAGUGAAUCUUUGAAAACCGAACCUGACCUUUUUCCUGAAGCCUUGCAAACUGAAGCUGAAAAACUUGAUAUAAACUUAAGAGAGAUACAUAUCUGUUGUUGUGUAAGCUGUAAGCUGCUCAGAAAGAUACUUUAAUGCCCGAUGACAUCAUCAGAGACAUCUCAAACUGCAAAAGAGGCUUUGACUCUG